GCAUCAGUUGUUUAGAUGUCUAUGAUUGUUUACAGUUUGAUGUGUGAAAAACAAAACAUGUAAUACAAGUUAAAUUUGUAUAUUUAAUGAUUGAUUACCAAAAGCAACAAAUUAAUUUAUCUAAUACUUCAAAUGCAGAUUCUUUGAGCAGAUAUACGAGCAAAUCGUCCGCCAUCUUCUCAAGACACCUGUUUGGAUUUGUCCAGGGUGUUAUUUAAACAUAUUAAAUGAACAAGAACACAAAAAAUAAGAAGGAUUCGAAAUGUAAAGAAGUAGAGUCCAAUCACGCUUCUUUCUCUUGGGCUUAUAGAAAAGGAUGUCAUUUAAACAUAUUAAAUGAACAAGAAGACAAAAAAUAAGGAUUCGAGACCUGGAGAAGUGGAGCCCCUUCAUUUCUCCCUCCCCUUGGACUUGAAAAUAUGUGCAGUCCAAUUUACAGCUGCAUAUGUGGUGUUCUGCCUGCCUGCUAUGGGGCUCAUUUCACCAUGGGUGAUAUUACUUUUCCUUUAUUGUCAACGCUUAGAAAUAAAACUCGAGCACUGUACAGUUAUCCUCUAGAUAAGCAAUUGUUUCACUGUUGAUUAUUUUGCUUUUUGGUUGUACUUGAUUUUCAUAAUAAUUAUUCGUCUCUGGCAUCUGUGGUUUCUCUUUAACAGUUAUCUAUUGUUCGUAGCAUAAAUUAACGUCGUGUAUCUAUGAUUUUGCUUGUAGCUAUUAUCUAUUCGUAUAUUUAUGAUUUUUGGAUAUUUAUGUCAUGUAAAAUUGACGCUUGUCACCAUUUUAUAAUUCAGAUAUUUUACUUGCUUUUUGGUGCGUGUUUUUAGAUUGUUGCAACAAAUGAGAGAGAAUAAAGUUCAGUUUGGUCAUACUGAUACAACCAAUAUGUACAUGGGUGUGGUCUUUUGUGAACUAUGUUUUUAAUUUUCUGUUCUCCUCUCCACCUUGCAACAUUAUGCAGUCAAUCUUGAAACGGAGAGCGAGAGCAACUAGAGAUUUACUUACAUUUCACUGAAACAACGAAUUGUCUGCUGUGGCAUUCCUUUUGGAUUUGUUUUGCUUUUCACACCUGCAAACUUUGGAACAUUACAGUUGAUUAAGUUCGACGUUGGAGAAGACAAAGAUGACCCCAUAGUUGA
Agrilus planipennis (emerald ash borer) is the source of this 1136-nucleotide long non-coding RNA. RefSeq lists it as uncharacterized. The record is from RefSeq and is a predicted model, not a curated record. The transcript has 5 exons. Lineage: Eukaryota; Metazoa; Arthropoda; Insecta; Coleoptera; Buprestidae.